GAACGCACCUUGCGCCCUUUGGCCAUUCCGAAGGGCAUGCCUGUUUGAGUAUCAUGAACACCUCAACUCUUCAUGGUUUUCCAUGAUGAGUUUGGACUUUGGGGGUUUUGCUGGCCCUACGGUCAGCUCCUCUGAAAUAAAUCAGCUUGCCAGUGUUUGGUGGGUAUCAUAGGUGUGAUAACUAUCUACGCUUGUGGUUCUUCCACCAGGUAACCUUCAGCAGUGGAGGUUCACUGGAGCUCACAGACGUCUCUCCUCAGUGAGGACAGCCCUUUGAAUGUUUGAUCUCAAAUCAGGUAGGACUACCCGCUGAACUUA
RNAcentral lists this unclassified non-coding RNA (318 nucleotides) under Tomentella badia. RNAcentral describes it as "sequence contains 5.8S rRNA gene". The record is from RNAcentral. Lineage: Eukaryota; Fungi; Basidiomycota; Agaricomycetes; Thelephorales; Thelephoraceae.